GUAGGGAAUAUUGGGCAAUGGUCGGAAGACUGACCCAGCCAUGCCGCGUGCAGGAAGACGGCCCUCUGGGUUGUAAACUGCUUUUAUCUGGGAAGAAAAAGGCCAUGCGUGGCAAAUUGCCGGUACCAGAUGAAUAAGCACCGGCUAACUCCGUGCCAGCAGCCGCGGUAAUACGGAGGGUACGAGCGUUGUCCGGAUUUAUUGGGUUUAAAGGGUGCGUAGGCGGCUGAUUAAGUCAGCGGUGAAAGACUUCGGCUUAACCGGAGCAGUGCCGUUGAUACUGGUUGGCUUGAGUGUCGGAGGGGUACAUGGAAUUGAUGGUGUAGCGGUGAAAUGCAUAGAUACCAUCAGGAACACCGAUAGCGAAGGCAUUGUACUGGCCGACAACUGACGCUGAUGCACGAAAGUGUGGGGAUCGAACAGGAUUAGAUACCCCAGUAGUCC
This 444-nucleotide ribosomal RNA is filed under the name uncultured bacterium. RNAcentral describes it as "partial 16S ribosomal RNA". It matches the Rfam family "Bacterial small subunit ribosomal RNA", at positions 354 to 796 of the family's 1533-position model. The record is from RNAcentral.